AUUUCCCAGAGAAGUGGGUCCAGGAGAAGGGCAGAUUCUAUGUUUUCUCCACUGAUACCAUGGACUGGAACAGCAGCAGAGAACGCUGUCAGGAUCUGGGAGGAGACCUGGUCAUCAUCAACAGCAUGGAGGAGCAGGUACAGAUAAUAUAACAUCAUUGGAACUUAUCAUUUCAGACGAAAGAUGUACACUGAACUUAAAUAAAACAAGCUGCAGAUUAAAUGAUCUCUAUAUAUCUGUCAUGACAACUCUGGAGUGUUUAGCAUGGUAAUGAAUAAGACAAUGUUGAUAUGUUUGGUCUUGGCAGAAUAGAUCUGGUGCUGCUGCUGCUUUUAUUGCUGCUGCUGCUAUUGAUUAUUGCUGCUGCAGAGCAAUACGGGACUUGCUUCUGCUAAUACACACACGACACGCUGCUGUGAGCAAGUAAGACAUGCUGCUGCUGUAGCAUACAUGAAUUACCCGUAGCAGAUCUAUACAGGUGGACCUGGGGAAGGUGGAGGGUUUCUGAAAGCACGCUGCAAACUGCUAAAGCAAAUGCUGACCAAGUAUUUGAAGGUUGAGGGGCGAGCUCAUUGGCUAAAGAAUCAAUCAGCUGUGCCCUAUAGAGAAUGAUAUGAUUGCAAGCAGAUUGAGUUAAGGACCUAUCAGCCUGCGCUAUCUAGAGUUUCAUGACCAAACUUUCUUUUGUAGAAAUUUCUUGCAAAACAAAUACGCAUUAUUGGCGCAAACACAUUAUAUUGGAUUGGACUGACCGAUAGCCGCACUGAAGGUGUUUGGCUGUGGGUGGAUGAAACCAAGAAUCAUCUUAGGCAAGUAUUAUUUUAAAUAUCUGUGUUGAUAAAUGUAUAUGAUGUUUAAAAUGUCCCGUUUGGUUACAGUAUGAUACCUUUUUUAUGCAUCUUUACUGUUUAAUUAAUUAAUUAAUUAUUUAUUAAUUUAUUUAUUUAUUUGUCAGUUUCUGGGGACAGCCUCCUGAUGAUUACAAAUCAGCAGACAAUCCUCUGGGUGAAGACUGUGUUAUAUUGAAUGGACGAAUGAUUGAGCCGAUGUGGGGAGAUGUUUUUUGCUUGAGGAAAGAGAGAAGCAUUUGUGAGAUUCCAUAUAGGAAAUCUACCAGACAGACGAAAUGUAGAGCUAUCUAUGCCGUGAUUGCUGUUCUCCUCCUCCUGUCUCUGCUUGGUAAUGGGGUGCUGGCAUACUUGUAUUUCACUAAAGAAAAAAAUAUGUUGUUGCAUUGUGAGCCAGUAACAAACUGCUCAUAUUCAGACCAUGAACAAGACAGUCCAGGGUGCACGUAUGAGGAGGAAUGGAGGUCAUUAAAUUAUUGCCCAGAUUUGCCAGAGCAGUGGUUAAAAGGCAACGACACAUUCUAUGUUUUCUCCAACCACAACAAGAACUGGAGCUCCAGCAGAAAGCACUGUCAAGAUCUGGGUGGUGAUUUGGUCAUUAUUAACAACACAGAGGAGAAGGAAUUUCUUGCUCGGAGACUAUGUGUUGAUGAAUCUGAUCUCUACUGGGCUGGGAACAGUGAUGGGAACUGGGCAGAUCCGGAUUCCAAACAACACAACUGUGCUGUACUCAAAGGAAAUACACAAGAAGACAUUUCUUGCUUGAGAGAGGAGAGGAGCAUUUGUGAGAUUCCAUGCCUUCAGUAGACCUAUAGAUUAUUAUUAUUAUUAUUAUUUUUUAUGGUUGACUUCUUGUCUUAUUAUGCUGUGCCCUCGUUUAAUGAGUAAGCCUCAGGCUGAAGGAAAUGCAUAUUUACGCCUGUACAGUAGAGGACACAGCUCAAAAAACCUUUCAGCUGUGCUCCAUUCUGGAUUAAAGAAGAAUAGAAUACAGGAGAAGGGAGUUCAACACUCUUAUUUCUGAAUCUAAAGUUUGCAUCCCAGUUUUUGCUUAUUAGUAUGGUUGAAUUAGAUGAUGGUCAGCAGCAAAGACAUUGUUUAAUAAAGUGAGAUUAAAUGCAUAAA
RNA transcript from Ctenopharyngodon idella (grass carp), 1973 nucleotides. It is a transcript of the gene named C-type lectin domain family 4 member C, with no coding region annotated. The transcript has 6 exons. The record is from RefSeq and is a predicted model, not a curated record. Lineage: Eukaryota; Metazoa; Chordata; Actinopteri; Cypriniformes; Xenocyprididae.